AUACCAUGAUGAGGGCAACACCUAAGUAAGUCCUUGUAUCUCUCCCAAGCCUCGUACAACGACUCUGAAUCAAGCUAUGUGAAUGAUGUAAUAUCAUUUCUCAUUUU
This 107-nucleotide small nucleolar RNA is filed under the name Theobroma cacao (cacao). Its description in RNAcentral is "Plant small nucleolar RNA R71". It matches the Rfam family "Plant small nucleolar RNA R71". Rfam says of the family: R71 is a member of the C/D box family of snoRNAs containing the C (UGAUGA) and D (CUGA) box motifs. Multiple nearly identical copies of this snoRNA have been identified in Arabidopsis, and it is thought to function as a 2'-O-ribose methylation guide for 18S ribosomal RNA. The record is from Rfam by way of RNAcentral. Lineage: Eukaryota; Viridiplantae; Streptophyta; Magnoliopsida; Malvales; Malvaceae.